This is a long non-coding RNA of Mus musculus (house mouse), 4304 nucleotides long. RefSeq annotates it as predicted gene, 51782. The record is from RefSeq and is a predicted model, not a curated record. Lineage: Eukaryota; Metazoa; Chordata; Mammalia; Rodentia; Muridae. The transcript has 3 exons.
GCUUAGAGUGUUGUUCUCCACAGCCUCCAGAACAGCUGAAGCCAACUUAAAACAAAACAGAGUUAAAUGUCAGCAGAAAAAUACCAAAAUAAAAUACGACAUUAAUUUUACAAGCUGGUCCUCCCUCUGCUUCACUAACUUGGCCGUAGCCACUGCAAAGAGAAGGAAGAAAAGCAUAAAGCACAACCGCGAUUUAACCUUUAAAACGCAAGCCGCUACGACAGGCAGCUCAGUUACAGUAGCAAGGAGGUUCUGCACUAACUGGCUGAGGGCACAACAAUCUCCCAGAUGAGAUGAGAUAUGGAGUGCCCUCCACGGGCAGCCAGUAAGAAGGUCAGAGUUGAGUCUGCUGCGGCUACGAGCGCUAGGGAACAGGCUGCAAUGCACAGCCCACGCUCGGGUCGGUGCCAAGCUGCUCGUGCACAGUUCUCCUUACAAGGACGAUACAGCUCAACCCUCUCCAGAGUCAUGGAAGAUUCUGAGGACUGAAUUCCUUAAACAUUAGCUGGCAGGCUAUUUGGAGACAAACUUCUCACAUAUAAGAUCAAACUAAAAUAUGGCUGUCCUGGCUGGUUGUGUGUCAACUUGACACAAGCUGGAGUUAUCACAGAGAAAGGAGCUUCCAUAAGAUCCAGCUGUAAGGCAUUUUCUCCAUUAGUGAUCGAGGACGGGAGGGCCCAUUGCGGGUGGUGCCAUCCCUGGGCCUGGUAGUCCUGGGUUCUAUAAGAAAGCAAGCUGAGCAAGCCAGGGGAAGCAAACCAAUAAGAAACAUCCCUCCAUGGCCUCUGCAUCAGCUCCUGCUCCCUGACCUGCUUGAGUUCCAGUCCUGACUUCCUUUGGUGAUGAACAGCAAUGUGGAAGUGUAAGCUGAAUAAAUCCUUUCCUCCCCAACUUGCUUCUUGGUCAAGAUGUUUGUGCAGGAACAGAAACCCUCACUGAGACACUGAUCUUACGUUGGAUGCGACUUAUCCACCUGACCCUUUUCAAUGUGCUUCAACCUGCUUGCUUCAUCCUCUACCAACCCUAACCCAGGCACGUUGGCAUUGUCUUUCUGUUUGGUUUAAGGACACGUUUGGUGUUCUGGUUUAGGGUCUAUGUUAGCAGUGAUCUAACAGGGCCUUGUACGGUCAGUGGAGCACUUCCUUGUACGGUCAGUGGAGCACUCUGCUCUGAGCUACACUCUGGCAAGCACCUUUAACAGGGUGUGUAUAGAACUUGGCUUAAACUGAAAACUGAAUCUGGGUCUGCGAAUCAGGCAGCAACCCUCCUCCCACACCUAUCUACACGGCUCACUAAUACAAUGAGGAAAGAUGUUCAGAAUAGCCGUGAUCGUGGUCCUAAUGGAAAAUGGAAAAAUGUUUAAGAUGACAUUUUACAGUAGUAAAAUUACAUGUAGGACAUUAAAAUAUGAAGCCUGACAGUAGGAAGUACAACAGACUCUACUGCAUUUCUAUUAAAAUGAAAACCAUUACCUCACUCUUUGCAAAUGUUAAACAUGGAAAGAUGUCCUCCUGGUAGAUUUUGUCCAGGAAAGGACACGUUCUGUCCAUCGUGGGCUCAUCCUUCCAAGAUCUGAACUCAUUAUACAGCGAUAAAUCAGCCUAACAAACCAAAGCAAUACAAAACAACUUUAAAAAGGAAAAAAAAUAAAAUAAAACAUUUGAUAAAAUGAAACUAAAUUAAACAUUAUUAAAAGGGAAAGUUCUUCAUUUAAAAUAAUAAAAAUUCACUGUCCCAUAAUCCAUGAUAGCAAUCUUCCUCUAGAGAGUGGUUGACUGAGCCUUUCGGGUCCCUACGGUGUGCAAACACGCUGCCCUCAUGACUCUCCACAGACUGCAGCUACUCUUCUCAUCUGAGAUAGGGUCUCGCUCCGUACCCCAAGCUCACCUGGAGCUCACUGUGUGCGCAGGCUGCCCCUCACAAGGCUCCUGCCUCGGCCUGACUGUCAUGCCCAGCAGUACUUGGGCUCUCUGAAGACAAAGGCUGUCCUGAAUGUAAGAAGCGCUGACCAGUCUCUUCUGACAAGUACCCAUCUGGAGACACAUUAACUAGAGAGAGUGAAUAACCUGAGUCUAACCUGGGAAACCUAGUGUGGGGUAAAGAUUCGAGGGGCCGUUCUUAAGUAGACGGUCCCUAAAGGAUGGCUAAAACACCCCCGAGCGUGAGGAACAGGACAAAAGGUGGCAGCGUGCACUCAGCGGCUACACUGAGCACCUUCAAGACUCCCUGAACGGCCCUCAGAUCCCUACCCGUGGGGUUCAGGACAGCCUGCUGCACAUGAGGCACCACCUACACCGGCCCCCACAGAGCGAGCUGUGUCUCCCCCUUGCAGAGCUCUUAGCCACGCUGCAGGUGCUAAACCCCGAUGGUUUUGCACUGAGGGCUGUGAGCCUGGGACAACUUAUUGAGAGGUAAGACCCCACCAAGGAAACAAAAGGCUGCUGCACCCAGGCUCUCUCCAGACUUCAAAGGUGAAUACCGACAAUUUGUUUCUCAUGCCCGUCCCUAAGUUCCUCAAGUCAAAGCUAAAGGAAAGAGGACAAAAAAUAUCAAGAGAGAUAGUACUGAAGAUUUUCAAAUCCUCUUGCUUAGUUCAUCAAGAAAAUGGAACUAAGCCCCAAAGCAGGAGGGGGAUAACGGAAGGGGAGCUUCGAGUGCAGAAGCAGUAAUUCAUCUCUUAAAGGCUGACUCUUGGGGACCACGGUCCCGUGGGCUUGUGCCAAGCACAUACGAUGACCCCCAGUUUAUCGAUAAAAUCAGGACUUAGAUAAAAUAGUUUCCCAAAGUCACAGUGUGCCAGCUUGACACGGCUAGAGCCACCUGAGAGGAGGAACCUCAAUAGAGAUCAAGCCUCAAGAUGAAGCAGCAGGCAAGCAAGCCUGUGGGGCAUUCUCUUAAUUAGCCGUGGCUUCUGCAUCGGCUCCUGCCUCCAGGACCCUGCCCUGCCUGAGUAUCUGCCUGGUGUCGUUUCAACAAUGAACAGUGGUGUGAGACAUAAGCAAAAUAAACCCCUUUCCCCAACUUGCUUUUGGUCACGGUGUGUCAUCUCAGCAGUGAUAACCCUAAGACACACAGUUAAGUCCAAAUUCAAGCCUAACUUUUUAGAUCCCAAAGCCUUGUACCAAGAGCACAUCCACACCAGUAUUAAAGCUUUCAGAAAAACACUUCUAUGACUGGGAGACCCACCGCAGUUUCUAGAGAAACACAGACACUCUCCAUUUCCAUUCAGGGUGUUAUACAGUGUCCCAGGGCAUAUUUCAGUCAACAUUUCUUGUUUGUAUAAUAAAACUUGCUGACAUUUUCACACAGUAUCAGGCUAGAAAGUGUGGCUAGAAUACUCAAGUAGGAACAUGUUGCCUAUUUCAUACAUUUCAAAACACAAGAGAGGCUUCUGAAGUACUGAGAAACCACCUGAAAAAGCUUUCCUACAAGCAACGGGAGAAAACGCUUUACACUUACUAACUCAAAAGUGACAAUAGAAGCUAACCUUUUAGAAACAGCACACUUAUUUAAAGUUAGAGAAAUCAGAAUUAAAGCAGUGACUAAAGGAGUAUAUUAGAUACUUAACAAAAACAAAUAUGAAUUUUAGGUUUUGCUGCAUUCAGAUCUGGAUGAGAAGUAAAAAGCGCAGACAGCCGCUUGCUUCAGUAUGAACUGGCUUAAAACUCACAGUGCCUGAAGCUCCAGGAAGCCUUGGGCAAUGCCCUACAAACACUUUACACCACACAUGACGGUAAAACCAGCAGUGUUUAAUAAUGCCGUAACUCUUACUUUACACAAUUCGAUAAACAGCAUCUAGGCUAUCUUUGUGCUUUCUAAAAUGCAAGGCUUCAAUUAUUUCUGGGUUCUGUUUGUUUUCUUAAUUAUCUGACUCAACUCUAGAACUUUCUAUCAAUGGAAAAUUUUGCUUCUCUCAGAUUUCAAAUAAAAAGAGCUACUAGUAAUCUUUAGGAAAAUCAUCAUAUUUUCACAUUUCUUAUUCGUACUUUAACACUGCACUAACAGAACGUCGUGACUAGUGGGGGACCCCCUUAGGCACCCACUUUCCUUUACACAACGCAUGCCACUUUAUUCCCUAGAUGGAAACUUGAAAUGCAGAGACUCCUGCUGCAGAUGCUCUGAGGCCAAGUGGGAUGGGGGUGGGAUGGGGAGGGUCCUUGAGAGCAGCCAGCCCUAGCAACAGCCUCCCCAUCCUAACACUGAUAUUCUGUGCUAAAGAAGUCUGCUGGCCACCUCAGUGAUGGCGAUCAACAGGAGGGACAGGUCAGAGGGGACAGUCCUCUCUGCAGGAGUUACCUCUUUGC